Molecule: long non-coding RNA, 1017 nt
Filed under: Cricetulus griseus (Chinese hamster)
Lineage: Eukaryota; Metazoa; Chordata; Mammalia; Rodentia; Cricetidae
Description: lncRNA (ENSCGRG00015041817.1)
Source: RNAcentral
AUCACAGGGGCACUCAAACAACAGAUCUUGGUGUGACUGAUCUGAGAAGUCAAAGAAAAUGAAAGCAUCAGGGAAAUGUGAAGGUGACUGUCCGUGCUUGAUGUUGAACUUGGAAGGAAUCAGGUGGAAAGGGACUGAGUGUGUACUCUCAGAGCUGAGAGUGACAGGAGGCAAGAAACAGAAACUUCUAUGCUACCCACAAGGAAAUGAAUCCCUGUGGCAACCAUGGGAUUACAGGAGCAGAUAGCAUUCAAAGCCUUAGCCUGGAACUCUGCCCAGUGACGUCUCGGUUUCUGCUUUGUGAGAUGCCAAGAGGAGAACCCACUCAUGUGUUUGUGGCAUGCCAGAUCCCUGACUGCAGAGCUACAAUUCUGAUGCAGGAGAAAUUCUAUUCUCAGAUGGAAACCGGGACACAACUGACCAUGUUAGAUAAUGGUGAUGCAUUGAACUGGGAACCUGGAUGAACCAAAAGUGAAUGAAUAGGAAAGGAUUGGAAGGUCCAAUUUGCUGAAAACAACAACAACAACAACAACAAAAAAAAACAAAAACAACAACAAAAACUAUACCAAUUGAAAACUGAUAAAACUUGAGGGAGAAAUCAAAAAGGUUUUUCCUAAGAAUCACAAGAUGGAUAAUUAUCUCACAAGGGAUGGCAUAGAAAUUGAGGCUCCAAAACAGAACUGCCAGGACUGUGCCUGCCACUUGGAAGAUUAGGUAGGAAGAAGUUUUAAAAGAUCAUGGAAACGUUAAAACUUUCCCCUGUGACAUCUCUUAAAAAAGAUCCCAGUCAGCCUGAAAAAUAAGGUUCUCCCAUUUUCUUCAGAUGUCAGAGCAAAGAAAAAGCUCUCAAAAGUCCCUCAGUGACAAGCGCUGUCACUGUCAACAGAUCCCAUCACAAAGCCAUCGUGUUAUGCCUACAUUAACUGAGUUCCUGGUAUGUGAUAGGUGCCAAUAUCGUCCUGGACUUGGAAAACAGAUUUAGCUGAAAAAAAAGUCAUUCAGGAAUCUAAAAGGAAG